CGAUUCGACGUUGUCUGAGUCGGAUGGGUUUAUUUUUUUUGUGGUUUAAGGGUUUAAUUGGGCAAAUUAUUGUUUUGUUGUUGUAUUUUUUAUUGAUUUGAUACUUUUUAUUAUAGUUUAUUUGUACUGUAGGGGGUUUAUAUUUUUGUUUUUAUAAGUAGGGUUUAUUUGCUGUACCUUGUGUAUCAGGGUCUAUUAAUUCUUAUUAUUUAUUUUUGUUUCCCGAUUUCGGAAGAGUUAAGUAUUUGUUUUAGUUACUGUUUCAGUAGUAUUAAUAACAUUUAUUUGGUAGUGAUAUGUUAAUCGUUUCCGGGGGUAUCUGGUUUCUCAAGAAAUGAAUUUAAUUCACACUUUUUAUUUAGUUUUUAUUUUUAUUUGGUUGGCUUAAUAAUUUGUGAAGGUGUUGGGGGAUAAGCUCUAAUUCUUUUUUAUAAUUUGUUUAUUUAGAUUUAUCUUGUGGGCUUUAGGUUGGCUUUCUAUAUGAGUAUUUUAAAAUUCUGCUUUAUUUUUGUUUGUGAUUUUUAUUUUUGUUUAAUAUUUUUAUUGGGAUGUUUAGUUGAACUUUUCGGUUAUAGUAUUUUUGAUUGAAUUAGUAUAAUUUGUUUUAUUAGGUUUUAUUGUAUGUUAUGUUUUUCAGAGGAAUUAGGCAAAGUUUAGUGUUCGCCUGUUUAACAAAAACAUCGCUUCUUGUUGUAUUGAUUUGAAGUAUGACCUGCCCGCUGAUGGUUAUUGAAGGGCCGCGGUAUUUUGACCGUGCAAAGGUAGCAUAAUCAUUAGUUUUUUAAUUGUGGACUGGUAUGAAUGGUUUGACGAAAUGCUAGCUGUCUUUGGUUUGUGAUGUAUUGAAUUUGUUGUUUGGGUAAAAAUACCUAAAUUUUUUUAUGGGACGAGAAGACCCUAUAGAGUUUUAUAUAAUGUGUUUCUUUUUGGUUUGUUUUUGUUCUUGUUGGGAUAUAUUAUAUUUUGUUGGGGUGAUGGGAAGAUAAAUAUAACUCUUCUUUGUAUUUUUCACUUGUUUGUGUUUAUUGUGAUCCUUAAUGUUGAUUAUAAGAUCAAAUUACCUUAGGGAUAACAGCAUAAUCUUUUUUGAGAGUUCUUAUUGACAAAAGGGUUUGUGACCUCGAUGUUGGAUUAAGAUGAAUUUUUGGCGUAGAGGCUUUAUUGUAUUAUUAAUUAGGUCUGUUCGACCUUUAAAAUCUUACAUGAUCUGAGUUCAGACCGGCGUGAGCCAGGUUGGUUUCUAUCUAUAAUUUUUAUAUUAUUUCUUAGUACGAGAGGACCAGAAAUUUGGAAUAAUUUUUGUUAGGUUGAGUUUUAUUAAUUUACUAUUUUGGCAGAUAAGUGCGAUGGAUUUAGAAUCUAUUUA
This 1366-nucleotide ribosomal RNA is filed under the name Cryptotermes domesticus. RNAcentral describes it as "16S ribosomal RNA". The stretch from base 880 to 1250 matches the Rfam family "Bacterial large subunit ribosomal RNA", at positions 2073 to 2647 of the family's 2925-position model. Lineage: Eukaryota; Metazoa; Arthropoda; Insecta; Blattodea; Kalotermitidae. The record is from RNAcentral.